Molecule: ribosomal RNA, 477 nt
Filed under: uncultured bacterium
Lineage: Bacteria
Description: bacterial SSU rRNA
Rfam family: Bacterial small subunit ribosomal RNA
Source: RNAcentral
UUCGCAAUGCCCGAAAGGGUGACGAAGCGACGCCGCGUGCGGGAAGAAGGCCUUCGGGUUGUAAACCGCUGUCGGGAGUUAGGAAAUGCAAGGAUAUUAAUAGUGUCUUUGUUUGACUAAGGCUCCGGAGGAAGCCACGGCUAACUCUGUGCCAGCAGCCGCGGUAAUACAGAGGCGGCAAGCGUUGUUCGGAAUUAUUGGGCGUAAAGAGCACGUAGGCGGCUAUGUAAGUCGGUUGUGGAAGCCUUCCGCUCAACGGAAGAACAGCAUCCGAUACUACAUGGCUUGAGUGCGGGAGGGGAGAGUGGAACUUCUGGUGGAGCGGUGAAAUGCGUAGAUAUCAGAAGGAACGCCGGCGGCGAAAGCGGCUCUCUGGCCCAUAACUGACGCUGAGUGUGCGAAAGCUAGGGGAGCAAACGGGAUUAGAUACCCCGGUAGUCCUAGCCGUAAACGAUGGGCACUAAGUAGAGGGGUUUU